This is a non-coding RNA of Microcebus murinus (gray mouse lemur), 625 nucleotides long. The record is from RefSeq and is a predicted model, not a curated record. NCBI's taxonomy places the organism in Eukaryota, Metazoa, Chordata, Mammalia, Primates, Cheirogaleidae.
AAGCAAUCCUGCUGCCUCAGCCUCCCGAGUAGCUGGGACUACAGAAGGAAGGAUACCUGAGACAACAGGAGACUCCAGGGGAAGAAGUUGCAGAGGACAGCUGAAAGGAGAAAGCUCCCCCCACUCUGCCCCCAGAGGCUUGGAGACCAGCGACAAGUCUGCUGAGAGACAAUUUAGCCACCACCCAGAGGCAUCUCCAGGGAACAGGACCUUUCUUUUGGGGGCCUACAGCAGACUGAGGAGUACUCAGACUGUGAGCUCCUUACCUGUCAGCCCUCCCAGGUUGUGGUUGAAUCUCACCCUAUUUGAGAUUCUAGCCACCUACUUGCUCCAAGACAAAACAGAGCAUGUCAUCCAAAGGAAAAUCUAAAGGCAAGAUGCAACAACUGAACCAGAUGGGAAGGAAUCAGCAAAAGAACUCUGGAGGUAUGAAGAAUCAAAUGGAAAGCACACCCCAAAAGAUGAACACCAGCUCUCUAGAAGUGGACAUCUACCAAAGUCAGAACCCUAAAAUGACAGAAGAAGAAUUUCGAACAUGGAUGUUUAGAACCCUGAAGGACUUGCAAGAAAAACUGGCUAACCAACACAAAGAACUUAUAAAACGAUUGCAGGACCUGGAAGAAAA